UGGUGCCUACGGGGGGCAGCAGUGGGGAAUAUUGCACAAUGGGGGAAACCCUGAUGCAGCAACGCCGCGUGAGUGAAGAAGUAUUUCGGUAUGUAAAGCUCUAUCAGCAGGGAAGAAGAUGACGGUACCUGAGUAAGAAGCCCCGGCUAACUACGUGCCAGCAGCCGCGGUAAUACGUAGGGAGCAAGCGUUAUCCGGAUUUAUUGGGUGUAAAGGGUGCGUAGACGGGAAGGCAAGUUGGUUGUGAAAUCCCUCGGCUUAACUGAGGAACUGCAACCAAAACUAUCUUUCUUGAGUGCUGGAGG
Molecule: ribosomal RNA, 305 nt
Filed under: uncultured bacterium
Lineage: Bacteria
Description: bacterial SSU rRNA
Rfam family: Bacterial small subunit ribosomal RNA
Source: RNAcentral